UACGAAGGGUGCAAACGUUGCUCGGAAUUAUUGGGCGUAAAGCGUACGCAGGCGGCUUUGCAAGACAGGUGUGAAAUCCCCGGGCCUAACCUGGGAACUGCAUUUGUGACUGCAUAGCUAGAGUUUGUCAGAGGGGGGUGGAAUUCCACGUGUAGCAGUGAAAUGCGUAGAUAUGUGGAGGAACACCGAUGGCGAAGGCAGCCCCCUGGGAUGUGACUGACGCUCAUGUACGAAAGCGUGGGGAGCAAACAGG
RNAcentral lists this ribosomal RNA (253 nucleotides) under uncultured bacterium. RNAcentral's name for it is "partial 16S ribosomal RNA". It matches the Rfam family "Bacterial small subunit ribosomal RNA", at positions 524 to 776 of the family's 1533-position model. The record is from RNAcentral.